GCCACCAUUCAUUCUCUGCCUUUUAGGGUUUCUAUUCCCUGUAAGAAAUAAAGGUUGUGCCUAGUAUGAAGGAGGUGUGCGGCUCAUCCUAUCCUUCACCAUUGGAGCUCAUUCUAUGAAGGCUCACCUACCCUUCCCUUUCUGGUUCUUCGAGGAUAAUGAUUCUGUAUUCCCUUUUAAAUGCUUGAUUUUGUAUACCCU
Molecule: long non-coding RNA, 201 nt
Filed under: Lupinus angustifolius (narrow-leaved blue lupine)
Lineage: Eukaryota; Viridiplantae; Streptophyta; Magnoliopsida; Fabales; Fabaceae
Description: long non-coding RNA (LANG_LNC002244)
Source: RNAcentral